Etheostoma cragini (Arkansas darter) is the source of this 257-nucleotide long non-coding RNA. RefSeq lists it as uncharacterized. Lineage: Eukaryota; Metazoa; Chordata; Actinopteri; Perciformes; Percidae. The transcript is spliced from 2 exons. The record is from RefSeq and is a predicted model, not a curated record.
AUACAAUGGUUUUGUACACUUGUUAAAUUAGCUGAUCAUAAUGUAAAUUACUGAGCCGCUGGUAAAGCUCAUCUGCUCUCCCUGACAGCCACACACCUCCAAAAAUAUGAACUAAACUCAACACACUUACCUGAGACUCUACACUUGACUGUCCCUGGUCUCCCUAUUCCUUAGUUCUUUCUGUCUCCUUUGCCUGUGACAUAGUGACGUUAGUAUUUCCAUAGGUACCCAUUCUUAUAAAGAUGUUACCAAAUUGU